RNAcentral lists this long non-coding RNA (290 nucleotides) under Lathyrus oleraceus (garden pea). Its description in RNAcentral is "Pisum sativum (pea) long non-coding RNA (PSAT_LNC016035)". The record is from RNAcentral. Lineage: Eukaryota; Viridiplantae; Streptophyta; Magnoliopsida; Fabales; Fabaceae.
CAUAUAUAUUUCUAAUCACACAAUAAUCCUAACAGAAAAUCACAUAUUCCAAAACCAGAUCUGAAAACUCUUCAUUCUCUCAAAAUUUCUUCAAGAACACAAAAACUUCAAAUCAAAAGAACUUCAUCAAUCUUUGAUCAAUCUUGGAAAUUCCUUUUGCAUUGAUCCUCAAUCAACAUCUCCUUGGACUGUUUGUGGUAUUCAGCAUCUAAUUCGCACCAAAACUCGACUGCACCUACAAGCAUCAUUCAUGGCAAAUUGCGAUUUGGAGCACUAGAAGCGACCUGGAU